RNAcentral lists this ribosomal RNA (375 nucleotides) under uncultured bacterium. Its description in RNAcentral is "bacterial SSU rRNA". It matches the Rfam family "Bacterial small subunit ribosomal RNA", at positions 524 to 898 of the family's 1533-position model. The record is from RNAcentral.
UACGUAGGUGGCGAGCGUUGUCCGGAAUUAUUGGGCGUAAAGAGCGUGUAGGUGGGAUCAUAAGUCUUUUGUCAAAGUGCGGGGCUCAACCCCGUGAUGCGGAGGAAACUGUGAUUCUUGAGUGCCGGAGAGGAAAGCGGAAUUCCCAGUGUAGCGGUGAAAUGCGUAGAUAUUGGGAGGAACACCAGUGGCGAAGGCGGCUUUCUGGACGGUGUCUGACACUGAGGCGCGAAAGCCAGGGGAGCGAACGGGAUUAGAUACCCCGGUAGUCCUGGCCGUAAACGAUGGGUACUAGGUGUAGGAGGUAUCGACCCCUUCUGUGCCGGAGUUAACGCAAUAAGUACCCCGCCUGGGGAGUACGGCCGCAAGGUUGAA